ACAAGCUUUCGGGAGAACCUCCCUUUCUCAAAAAAUGCUUCAGACUUGAGAAAGGGAGGUUCUCCCGAAAGCUUG
This 75-nucleotide microRNA precursor is filed under the name Pelobates cultripes (western spadefoot toad). Lineage: Eukaryota; Metazoa; Chordata; Amphibia; Anura; Pelobatidae. The record is from RNAcentral.